Long non-coding RNA from Agrilus planipennis (emerald ash borer), 661 nucleotides. RefSeq lists it as uncharacterized. The record is from RefSeq and is a predicted model, not a curated record. NCBI's taxonomy places the organism in Eukaryota, Metazoa, Arthropoda, Insecta, Coleoptera, Buprestidae. The transcript is spliced from 3 exons.
UAUGGCAUAUCAAAUCGCCAUUUUUAAAAUUCUCUAAUUUUUGAUACUAAUCGGUGCCUAUAUUUGUUUUAUUUCAAGUUUUAAUUAAUUAAUAGUGCAAUUUAUUUGUUUUUAUUCUCUAUUGUUACAAAGUGACAAUGAUAAAUAAGAGUGGAAUAGUGUUCAUUUUGAGGAUAUUGAAGAAGCAAGUCGCCUAUUGCGUUCCGCUUUUAUCUUUUUAUCUUGGACCUAGACUAGGUUGAUCUUGGAGGAUCUUGUAGUUAAUUAAAGUAAGGAUUUUACAUAAACUCCAGGUGGCAUACACUGCGAUUCUAAAAGUGCCUUUUUUCCACUACAAAGGCAUUACUUGUUCAUUUGUGGAAAUGAAUUGUCAACAUCAAUGGUACAGUACCUAGAAGUUAACAGAGUUCCAGAGUUCAAAGAGUAAAAACUUUAGAUGCCUUGUAUUAUGAAACAUUGGGUGUGUGAGUCCUCUUUCACCCCACUGAAGUCCUAAGGAAAGCGUGAAGGUGCCUUUUUUGCAUUGGUAACGGAUGCAGUGUUUUAUUGCUAAAGAAAGGAUUUACGAAAUUAUGAAAUGAAUUGAUUGGUCAACAAAUGAGGGGGAUUGGAAAGUUAAUUUUGACCUUAACGAUAACGACUUGGGAUAUCUGCACUGGUA